Molecule: ribosomal RNA, 682 nt
Filed under: uncultured prokaryote
Description: bacterial SSU rRNA
Rfam family: Bacterial small subunit ribosomal RNA
Source: RNAcentral
GAUGAACGCUAGCGACAGGCCUAACACAUGCAAGUCGAGGGGCAGCACAAGGUAGCAAUACUGAGGUGGCGACCGGCGCACGGGUGAGUAACGCGUAUGCAACCUGCCUGUAACAGGGGAAUAGCCUCUUGAAAGAGAGAUUAAUGCCGCAUAAUACGAGAUUCGGGCAUCCGGAUUUAGUUAAACAUUUAUGGGUUACAGGUGGGCAUGCGUUCCAUUAGAUAGUUGGUGAGGUAACGGCUCACCAAGUCAGCGAUGGAUAGGGGUUCUGAGAGGAAGGUCCCCCACACUGGUACUGAGACACGGACCAGACUCCUACGGGAGGCAGCAGUGAGGAAUAUUGGUCAAUGGGCGAGAGCCUGAACCAGCCAAGUCGCGUGAAGGAUGAAGGUCUUAUGGAUUGUAAACUUCUUUUAUAAGGGAAUAAAAAAGAUCACGUGUGGUUUAUUGCAUGUACCUUAUGAAUAAGCAUCGGCUAACUCCGUGCCAGCAGCCGCGGUAAUACGGAGGAUGCGAGCGUUAUCCGGAUUUAUUGGGUUUAAAGGGUGCGUAGGCGGUUUAUUAAGUCAGUGGUGAAAGUUUGCGGCUCAACCGUAAAAUUGCCAUUGAAACUGGCGAACUUGAGUACAGUAGAGGUAGGCGGAAUUCGUGGUGUAGCGGUGAAAUGCUUAGAUAUCACGAA